GGAUUAGAUACCCUGGUAGUCCACGCCGUAAACGAUGUCUACUUGGAGGUUGUUCCCUUGAGGAGUGGCUUUCGGAGCUAACGCGUUAAGUAGACCGCCUGGGGAGUACGGUCGCAAGAUUAAAACUCAAAUGAAUUGACGGGGGCCCGCACAAGCGGUGGAGCAUGUGGUUUAAUUCGAUGCAACGCGAAGAACCUUACCCACUCUUGACAUCCUCAGAAUCUUGUAGAGAUACGAGAGUGCCUUCGGGAACUGAGAGACAGGUGCUGCAUGGCUGUCGUCAGCUCGUGCU
This 292-nucleotide ribosomal RNA is filed under the name uncultured bacterium. RNAcentral describes it as "partial 16S ribosomal RNA". It matches the Rfam family "Bacterial small subunit ribosomal RNA", at positions 775 to 1066 of the family's 1533-position model. The record is from RNAcentral.